GAUGAACGCUGGCGGCGUGCCUAAUACAUGCAAGUCGAGCGAACAGAUGAGGAGCUUGCUCCUCUGACGUUAGCGGCGGACGGGUGAGUAACACGUGGAUAACCUACCUAUAAGACUGGGAUAACUUCGGGAAACCGGAGCUAAUACCGGAUAAUAUAUUGAACCGCAUGGUUCAAUAGUGAAAGACGGUUUUGCUGUCACUUAUAGAUGGAUCCGCGCCGCAUUAGCUAGUUGGUAAGGCAACGGCUUACCAAGGCAACGAUGCGUAGCCGACCUGAGAGGGUGAUCGGCCACACUGGAACUGAGACACGGUCCAGACUCCUACGGGAGGCAGCAGUAGGGAAUCUUCCGCAAUGGGCGAAAGCCUGACGGAGCAACGCCGCGUGAGUGAUGAAGGUCUUCGGAUCGUAAAACUCUGUUAUUAGGGAAGAACAAAUGUGUAAGUAACUAUGCACGUCUUGACGGUACCUAAUCAGAAAGCCACGGCUAACUACGUG
RNAcentral lists this ribosomal RNA (497 nucleotides) under uncultured bacterium. RNAcentral describes it as "partial 16S ribosomal RNA". It matches the Rfam family "Bacterial small subunit ribosomal RNA", at positions 28 to 507 of the family's 1533-position model. The record is from RNAcentral.